RNAcentral lists this ribosomal RNA (229 nucleotides) under uncultured bacterium. RNAcentral describes it as "partial 16S ribosomal RNA". It matches the Rfam family "Bacterial small subunit ribosomal RNA", at positions 568 to 796 of the family's 1533-position model. The record is from RNAcentral.
UGCGUAGGCGGAUUAAUAAGUCAGUGGUGAAAUCUUUCGGCUCAACCGAGAAACUGCCAUUGAUACUGUUAAUCUUGAGUUCGGUUGAGGUAGGCGGAAUGUGUAAUGUAGCGGUGAAAUGCUUAGAUAUUACACAGAACACCAAUUGCGUAGGCAGCUUACUAGACCGACACUGACGCCGAGGCACGAAAGCGUGGGGAGCGAACAGGAUUAGAUACCCUGGUAGUCC